RNAcentral lists this ribosomal RNA (639 nucleotides) under uncultured Bacteroidales bacterium. RNAcentral describes it as "bacterial SSU rRNA". It matches the Rfam family "Bacterial small subunit ribosomal RNA", at positions 69 to 703 of the family's 1533-position model. The record is from RNAcentral. Lineage: Bacteria; Pseudomonadati; Bacteroidota; Bacteroidia; Bacteroidales.
GUCUUAGCUUGCUAAGGCUGAUGGCGACCGGCGCACGGGUGAGUAACACGUAUCCAACCUGCCGUCUACUCUUGGCCAGCCUUCUGAAAGGAAGAUUAAUCCAGGAUGGCAUCAUGAGUUCACAUGUCCGCAUGAUUAAAGGUAUUUUCCGGUAGACGAUGGGGAUGCGUUCCAUUAGAUAGUAGGCGGGGUAACGGCCCACCUAGUCAACGAUGGAUAGGGGUUCUGAGAGGAAGGUCCCCCACAUUGGAACUGAGACACGGUCCAAACUCCUACGGGAGGCAGCAGUGAGGAAUAUUGGUCAAUGGGCGAUGGCCUGAACCAGCCAGGUAGCGUGAAGGAUGACUGCCCUAUGGGUUGUAAACUUCUUUUAUAAAGGAAUAAAGUCGGGUAUGCAUACCCGUUUGCAUGUACUUUAUGAAUAAGGAUCGGCUAACUCCGUGCCAGCAGCCGCGGUAAUACGGAGGAUCCGAGCGUUAUCCGGAUUUAUUGGGUUUAAAGGGAGCGUAGAUGGAUGUUUAAGUCAGUUGUGAAAGUUUGCGGCUCAACCGUAAAAUUGCAGUUGAUACUGGAUGUCUUGAGUGCAGUUGAGGCAGGCGGAAUUCGUGGUGUAGCGGUGAAAUGCUUAGAUAUCACGAA